GUCGGCAGAUCAGACGUAAAACAGUCGGGCCGCGUGGACGCGACCACGUAAAAAAGCGUA
This 60-nucleotide non-coding RNA is filed under the name human gut metagenome. RNAcentral's name for it is "GP20-b RNA". It matches the Rfam family "GP20-b RNA". The record is from RNAcentral.